AACGUAGGACGCAAGCGUUAUCCGGAGUUACUGGGCGUAAAGCGCGGGCAGGCGGUUCUGCCAGUCUGAUGGGAAAUCUCCUCGCUCAACGGGGAGCAGCCAUUGGAAACUACAGAACUGGAGUCUGGCAGAGGUAGGCGGAAUUCCGGGUGGAGUGGUGAAAUGCGUAGAGAUCCGGAGGAACACCAGAGGCGAAGGCGGCCUACUGGGCCAGUACUGACGCUGAGCCGCGAAAGCCAGGGGAGCGAACGGG
This 253-nucleotide ribosomal RNA is filed under the name uncultured bacterium. Its description in RNAcentral is "partial 16S ribosomal RNA". It matches the Rfam family "Bacterial small subunit ribosomal RNA", at positions 524 to 776 of the family's 1533-position model. The record is from RNAcentral.